RNAcentral lists this long non-coding RNA (240 nucleotides) under Manihot esculenta (cassava). RNAcentral's name for it is "long non-coding RNA (MESC_LNC011434)". The record is from RNAcentral. Lineage: Eukaryota; Viridiplantae; Streptophyta; Magnoliopsida; Malpighiales; Euphorbiaceae.
CUGUUCUACCUGCAGUACCGUGUUUGUCUUUUUAAAAGCAGGUGUGCGGACAUGCUGUAUAUAUACCUCAUCGGGGAGCUGUUCUAACUCUUCUUUGGUCAACCGACUAAGCAGGUCUGCUUCCUCAUUUUCUUCCCGAGGUAUUCUUUGGAAUCUGACGAUAACUCCCCGACCCGUGAGCUCGGCUUCUAUAGUUUUUACUUUAUCAAGGUAGUUUUGCAUGAUGGGGUCCCUAGCCUG